UACAGAGGGGGCAAGCGUUGUUCGGAAUCACUGGGCGUAAAGGGUGCGUAGGCGGGUUUUUAAGUCAGGGGUGAAAGCCCGGGGCUCAACUCCGGAAUUGCCUUUGAAACGGGAUCGCUUGAGUCCGAGAGAGGAUGGCGGAAUUCCUAGUGUAGAGGUGAAAUUCGUAGAUAUUAGGAAGAACACCGAUGGCGAAGGCAGGUCUCUGGGCAUUAACUGACGCUGAGGAGCGAAAGCAUGGGGAGCGAACAGG
Molecule: ribosomal RNA, 253 nt
Filed under: uncultured bacterium
Lineage: Bacteria
Description: partial 16S ribosomal RNA
Rfam family: Bacterial small subunit ribosomal RNA
Source: RNAcentral